AUUGAACGCUGGCAGCAGGCCUAACACAUGCAAGUCGAGCGGAUGAAGGGAGCUUGCUCCUGGAUUCAGCGGCGGACGGGUGAGUAAUGCCUAGGAAUCUGCCUGGUAGUGGGGGAUAACGUCCGGAAACGGGCGCUAAUACCGCAUACGUCCUGAGGGAGAAAGUGGGGGAUCUUCGGACCUCACGCUAUCAGAUGAGCCUAGGUCGGAUUAGCUAGUUGGUUGGGUAAAGGCCUACCAAGGCGACGAUCCGUAACUGGUCUGAGAGGAUGAUCCGUCACACUGGAACUGAGACACGGUCCAGACUCCUACGGGAGGCAGCAGUGGGGAAUAUUGGACAAUGGGCGAAAGCCUGAUCCAGCCAUGCCGCGUGUGUGAAGAAGGUCUUCGGAUUGUAAAGCACUUUAAGUUGGGAGGAAGGGCAGUAAGUUAAUACCUUGCUGUUUUGACGUUACCAACAGAAUAAGCACCGGCUAACUUCGUG
This 484-nucleotide ribosomal RNA is filed under the name uncultured bacterium. RNAcentral's name for it is "partial 16S ribosomal RNA". It matches the Rfam family "Bacterial small subunit ribosomal RNA", at positions 30 to 507 of the family's 1533-position model. The record is from RNAcentral.